Molecule: ribosomal RNA, 301 nt
Filed under: uncultured bacterium
Lineage: Bacteria
Description: partial 16S ribosomal RNA
Rfam family: Bacterial small subunit ribosomal RNA
Source: RNAcentral
CAGCAGCCGCGGUAAAACGUAGGGUGCAAGCGUUAAUCGGAAUUACUGGGCGUAAAGCGUGCGUAGGCGGUGAGUUAAGUCUGCUGUGAAAUCCCCGGGCUCAACCUGGGAAUGGCAGUGGAUACUGGCUCGCUAGAGUGUGUCAGAGGAUGGUGGAAUUCCCGGUGUAGCGGUGAAAUGCGUAGAGAUCGGGAGGAACAUCAGUGGCGAAGGCGGCCAUCUGGGACAACACUGACGCUGAGGCACGAAAGCGUGGGAAGCAAACAGGAUUAGAUACCCCUGUAGUCCCUGUCUCUUAUAC